AGCAGCCGCGGUAAUUCCAGCUCCAAUAGCGUAUAUUAAAGUUGUUGCAGUUAAAAAGCUCGUAGUUGAAUUUCGGGACUAAUAUGUCGGUCGUGCCUCGGUACGUACUGGUUUAUUGGUUUCUCCUUUCUGAAGAACCAUGAUGUCAUUUAUUUGGUGUCGUGGGGAAUCAGGACUGUUACUUUGAAAAAUUAGAGUGUUUAAAGCAGGCUCACGCUUGAAUACAUUAGCAUGGAAUAGUGAAAUAGGACGUUUGAUUCUAUUUUGUUGGUUUCUAGGAUCGACGUAAUGAUUAAUAGGGAUAGUUGGGGGCAUUAGUAUUCAAUUGUCAGAGGUGAAAUUCUUGGAUUUAUUGAAGACUAACUACUGCGAAAGCAUUUGCCAAGGAUGUUUUCAUUAAUCAAGAACGAAAGUUAGGGGAUCGAAGACGAUCAGAUACCGUCGUAGUCUUAACCA
This 456-nucleotide ribosomal RNA is filed under the name uncultured Glomus. RNAcentral describes it as "SSU rRNA". It matches the Rfam family "Eukaryotic small subunit ribosomal RNA", at positions 569 to 1032 of the family's 1831-position model. The record is from RNAcentral. Lineage: Eukaryota; Fungi; Glomeromycota; Glomeromycetes; Glomerales; Glomeraceae.